This 460-nucleotide ribosomal RNA is filed under the name uncultured bacterium. RNAcentral's name for it is "partial 16S ribosomal RNA". It matches the Rfam family "Bacterial small subunit ribosomal RNA", at positions 338 to 795 of the family's 1533-position model. The record is from RNAcentral.
CCUACGUGAGGCUGCAGUGAGGAAUAUUGGUCAAUGGGCGAGAGCCUGAACCAGCCAAGUCGCGUGAAGGAUGACGGCCCUACGGGUUGUAAACUUCUUUUGUCAGGGAGCAAUUGGGUCCACGCGUGGGCUUAGCGAGAGUACCUGAAGAAAAAGCAUCGGCUAACUCCUGUCCAGCAGCCGCGGUAAUACGGAGGAUGCGAGCGUUAUCCGGAUUUAUUGGGUUAAAAGGCUGCGUAGGCGGAAUAUCAAGUCAGCGGUAAAAAUUCGGGGCGAAACCCCGUCGUGCCGUUGAAACUGAUGUUAUUGAGUGGGCGAGAAGUAUGCGGAAUGCGUGGUGUAGCGGUGAAAUGCAUAGAUAUCACGCAGAACUCCGAUUGCGAAGGCAGCAUACCGGCGCCCAACUGACGCUGAAGCACGAAAGCGUGGGUAUCGAACAGGAUUAGAUACCCCUGUAGUC